UACUAUUUGGUGUAUGGGGCACGGGAUUUUUUGGAAAUUCAAGAGCAGUUUAAUUCUGCGACUAGUAA
This 68-nucleotide transfer RNA is filed under the name Vestalis melania. Its description in RNAcentral is "tRNA-Gln". Lineage: Eukaryota; Metazoa; Arthropoda; Insecta; Odonata; Calopterygidae. The record is from RNAcentral.